RNAcentral lists this ribosomal RNA (253 nucleotides) under uncultured Eubacteriales bacterium. Its description in RNAcentral is "uncultured Clostridiales bacterium partial 16S ribosomal RNA". It matches the Rfam family "Bacterial small subunit ribosomal RNA", at positions 524 to 776 of the family's 1533-position model. The record is from RNAcentral. Lineage: Bacteria; Bacillati; Bacillota; Clostridia; Eubacteriales.
UACGUAGGUGGCAAGCGUUAUCCGGAAUUACUGGGUGUAAAGGGAGCGUAGACGGUAAUGUAAGUCUGGAGUGAAAGGCGGGGGCCCAACCCCCGGACUGCUCUGGAAACUAUGUGACUGGAGUGCAGGAGAGGUAAGCGGAAUUCCUGGUGUAGCGGUGAAAUGCGUAGAUAUCAGGAGGAACACCAGUGGCGAAAGCGGCUCUCUGGUCUGUAACUGACGCUGAGGCACGAAAGCGUGGGGAGCAAACAGG